UACGUAGGGGGCGAGCGUUGUCCGGAAUCACUGGGCGUAAAGCGCGCGCAGGCGGUCUCUUAAGUCUGAUGUGAAAGCCCACGGCUCAACCGGUGAGCGGCAUUUGAAACUGUAUAUCUUGAGUUCAGGAGAGGAGAGCGGAAUUCCUGGUGUAGCGGUGGAAUGCGUAGAUAUCAGGAAGAACACCAGUGGCGAAGGCGGCUCUCUGGCCUGAAACUGACGCUCAGGUACGAAAGCUGGGGGAGCGAACAGG
RNAcentral lists this ribosomal RNA (253 nucleotides) under uncultured bacterium. RNAcentral describes it as "partial 16S ribosomal RNA". It matches the Rfam family "Bacterial small subunit ribosomal RNA", at positions 524 to 776 of the family's 1533-position model. The record is from RNAcentral.